CAUUGGGGUGCUAAAUUUUGUCUUCUGUGUUUGGCAGGAUGCUGGCAACCUCAUUCUGGAAAGAACACUGCUUUGCAAAGGAAAAGCUCUGAGAGAGAGCAGGCAUCCCAGCCUGAUGAGCCCCCCUGUUAAUGAACUUCUGCCUCCUGCUGAGACGUGCCAGACUUCCUUGGUCCUGAAUUGCCCUGCAUCUGCCCUAGGUGGGCAUGAGGGCUUCCCCAGGCUGCCUCGGACAGCGGGGAACACCAGCCAGCAGAGCCAGCCUUCGGCUGCGGCGUGGGGGCUGUGUCCCUGGGUUUCUUCAGGGUGUCAGGUUCCACUGUCUGCCCAGAGGGGAUCCUCUCCACGGGCUCCUGCACAUCAUUAAGAUGCAGUCCAUAAGUAAGUAGCAUUUGUACCCACUUUCCAGAUGAGAAAAAUAAGGUAUACAGGAAUUAAGUAACUUGCCCAGGUUCCCAUGGCCAGUACCAGUGAGACUGUUGCUGAAACAUCGGCUGCCUUUCUACACUGAUGCCAAAUAGAAACACGGAGACAGAGCUGGAGGAAACAGAAAAAGUAGCUUUCAUCACCAGGCAGAGAGGGGAACACAGCAGGCUAGUGCCUUGAGGACUAUGCCCCCCUUGGAGGGGGCAGCGAGGCGUCUUACAGUGUUCGAGGAGCAGGGCAUGAUCAGCCCGUGGACCUUUUCUUGACCGGUGGGUGGUGAGGUCAUUGGGAAUCAGCGUCAUCCACCUUCUGGUUCCAACCAGUCUGGUGUCUGCCUGCUUGUGGGCAGCACACAGUUAACUUCCUCUACCCAGUGGCGGCUUCAGCGUCUGCAAAACAGCUUCAAGGACAUGGCUCAGAAGAUUAUCUAUAA
This is a long non-coding RNA of Phacochoerus africanus (Common warthog), 859 nucleotides long. RefSeq lists it as uncharacterized. The record is from RefSeq and is a predicted model, not a curated record. The transcript is spliced from 3 exons. Lineage: Eukaryota; Metazoa; Chordata; Mammalia; Artiodactyla; Suidae.